Molecule: unclassified non-coding RNA, 236 nt
Filed under: Hevea brasiliensis (rubber tree)
Lineage: Eukaryota; Viridiplantae; Streptophyta; Magnoliopsida; Malpighiales; Euphorbiaceae
Source: RNAcentral
UUUUCUAACCAAAGAUUAGUAUUGAAAGCUUUAAGACUUGGAAAAAUAUGUAUGUGUCGCUGCACAUAUGACAUGUACUGUAAAAGAUCUCAUUGUUUUUAGGACUCUCAAGGUACAUCACCUGCUUGCUGUGAAUGGCUACAACCUACAGGCAAUGCAAGCUAUUCUAAUCCACAUGACAAAUGCAUUUAUUUUUACAUCUAUUAACUGACUAAACUUGUUUUAUCAGUUGGGGA